RNAcentral lists this transfer RNA (76 nucleotides) under Kosmotoga sp. Its description in RNAcentral is "tRNA-Thr". It matches the Rfam family "tRNA". Rfam says of the family: Transfer RNA (tRNA) molecules are approximately 80 nucleotides in length. Their secondary structure includes four short double-helical elements and three loops (D, anti-codon, and T loops). Lineage: Bacteria; Thermotogati; Thermotogota; Thermotogae; Kosmotogales; Kosmotogaceae. The record is from RNAcentral.
GCAGGCGUAGCUUCAAAGGUAGAGCGCGGCCUUGGUAAGGCGGAGGUUGUGAGUUCGAGUCUCAUCGCCUGCUCCA